GGUCGCUGUAAGUACAUCUUCCCUAAGCACAGGGGGGAUGCGAGACAAGGAGGUAGGUGGAUGGGAGGGUGGCCAGUGCAGUCAGAGCCGUGGAUUGGAGGGCUGGAGAUGCUUUUUGCAUUCCAAUGAGACUCCAUCAGAAAAUGUUCAGCAUCAAGGUUAAUCUAGAUGUCAAAGUCUGCUGACAGUGGAGGAGAUUGCUCCUGGGUGACAUCCUGUCUGAAGUCUUAACGCUGCAGUCAAUUUCAUCCCUCCCUCCAGGAAAUGGAGUCGGGCUUGCCAUUUUUGUGGACGUAUGCAUCACUGUAUAUGGCAGGAUUUUCUCGUGUUUUGUCAUUGUAUGAUGCAUGUGGUAUCAAUGCUGUGUCUGAAUGCAUCUAGGACAACAGUCGGAUCAACUGUGAUUGGCUAAUUCUUUCAAACAAGCUCGGCCCAAAAAAACACAACAUGCAAAGUCAAGGUAAAUCAGUACAAAACUGCUUAUGAGACAACUGUCAUAGUUAUAUAUCAUAGGACUAACAUCUGACAGAAAAUGGCAUCACACAAUCUUAUUUGAACUUUUCUUCAAAAUACCUAUCUUCUGAACCUGUACGGUUUUACUGAAGUGUCCAAGAUAAAAGAGGUAACUGCUGGUUUCUAGUCUCAUAAAUGAAGAGGUGUUUCUAAAAUCAGACACAUAAUGUUUUAUUAAAUGCUUUGAAGGUAAGUCAAAAAAUAUGAAGUAUGUCGGGAAGCAGAGAGAGGAUAACUACCUGUUGUUGGUUGGAUGGCUGUUCUGCAACACCAGCACUUAUGCUGACUCCAUAGCGCAUAAGAUAUUCAUCCUGUCCACAAUUCAGUAACAUUACCUUAUGGAAAAUUAUGAACGUAGCAGCAAAACUUGAUAAGCUGGCAACAAGAAAGUAUCUUAGACUAUGUUUCUGGUGUAUGGGGACUAUUGGAGACAGGGAGGCAGGCAGGUCGUGUGUGCGUCUGUGGUGUAGCAGCCUAGCUCCACAAGCCCCUGGGUUAUGAAGUGCUCAAAGAGAGCUCAUUUCAACUGCAAUGUUCCGCUUUUCUGCUUCCCUCCUCACUCCUCCCUCCUCCCCAUCAUGAUUAAGGUCUUAAACCCCUCAUCAAUCGUCAGCCUCUUCACUGCAGAAGCUCUAACAGGACACCGGCAGCCUGCUCUGUUCUGCUCUCCUAUCUGCUCUGUUCUGCUCUUGUUCUGCUCUCCUAUCUGCUCUGUACUGCUCUGGCCAAUAAACAGCACUAUGCAUUGCCACAGGAAGAUGUUUGGAGGUGGGGAUGUUGCGAUUUUUACCCUGUUCGCGCUACAGACAGCUAAUACAGGACUAAUAAAGGCCCAGUGUACAACUUUUGUGAGAAUUUAUUUGAUAAAAAUUUGAAUUAAUAUAUUUUUGGAUUGCGAUUUUUCAGGGGGUGCUACAGCAACCUCAGCACCCCUAAUUCCCACAGCUAUGGUGCUAUGUCCCUGUGCUAAAACAUUCAAGCAUAUGACCUUGCACCAUCAAAGCUCUGCUCUGCCCUCCUCUCCAUAGCUUCUGACCUGCAGGGAUUACCCCCAUCAUGGCCAUCAAAUGUAAGGGAUAUCUUAAAGCUGGGGCCAAAAACUCAUUUCAUUGGUCAUUUCCCCCCUUGUCUGCAAGGUGUACUGGUUAGAGUGAGCUGCAACCUUUGGAGCUGCCCCACUGUCCACCUCUUCCCUGUCACUGUCACUCUCCCUGGAUGAUCUCUCCACUCAGUCACACACCAUCUCAGGCCAUCUCUGGUAUUCUUAGAAACAACUAAUUCAUCUAUUUCCUCUCUGAUGGCUCUGGGGGAUAAAUAAUAAAUAUACUUCACAUAAAGACACGUUGCCCUCCAACGCUCUCUCUCUCCCCUCAAUAGCCCUCUGAAAGUCCCCCAUCCACCAUCUUCCCCCCCGCUUGCUGCUCCAUCAGUACUAAAGCAUACUCUGUCCAUGUGUCAUUGACAAGGUAAAUGGGGUUAAUGCUUGGCUCUGGCGGUGGCCUGUCUGUCACAAUCACACACCUAAUGAUGGGAGUAAUCCUGAGGAUACAGUGACAGGAGUUGUGAUGUCCCACUCCCAGGCUAUGAGGGGACUAUGAGGGGGCUAUGAGGGGGAUAUGAGGGGGCUAUGAGGGGGAUAUGAGGGGACUAUCAGGGGGAUAUGAGGGGACUAUCAGGGGACUGUCAGGGGGAUAUGAGGGGACUAUCAGGGGGAUAUGAGGGGACUAUCAAGGGGAUAUGAGGGGACUAUCAGGGGGAUAUGAGGGGACU
Oncorhynchus tshawytscha (Chinook salmon) is the source of this 2283-nucleotide long non-coding RNA. NCBI's taxonomy places the organism in Eukaryota, Metazoa, Chordata, Actinopteri, Salmoniformes, Salmonidae. The record is from Ensembl.